CAAUAGCGUAUAUUAAAGUCGUUGCAGUUAAAAAGCUCGUAGUUGGACCUUGGACCUGGACAGGCGGUCCGCCUCACGGCGUGUACUGUCUUGCUGGGUCUUUCCUCUUGGUGAUCUGUUGUUUCGGCAGCAGGGAACCAGGACUUUUACUUUGAAAAAAUUAGAGUGUUCAAAGCAGGCUCGACGCCGGAAUAUAUUAGCAUGGAAUAAUAAAAUAGGACGUGCGGUUCUAUUUUGUUGGUUUUUGGAAUCGCCGUAAUGAUUAAUAGGGACAGUCGGGGGCAUUAGUACUCACAUGCUAGAGGUGAAAUUCUUGGAUUUUGUGAAGACUAACUUCUGCGAAAGCAUUUGCCAAGGAUGUUUUCAUUAA
This 370-nucleotide ribosomal RNA is filed under the name uncultured eukaryote. RNAcentral's name for it is "partial 18S ribosomal RNA". It matches the Rfam family "Eukaryotic small subunit ribosomal RNA", at positions 592 to 976 of the family's 1831-position model. The record is from RNAcentral.